CAGCCCAUUCGUCCAUUUGACACCCAUAUACAUAGCAACCUCUCAUUAGCAAUGAAAGAAAGUGGGAAAGAAUUAACACUAAAUGGAGCUCGGUAAAGUUUUGCGAAGCAAUAAUUGGGAAGAUGUGGUGUUGAUCUAUCUUUAUUGAAAGACACUUAUUGCGAUAGCAAAAAUUAAAGCCAAAAUGAUAAAAGAAAUUGAAACGGAAGAGUCUUGGACAGUUGGGAAAAGGAAGCCACAAGAGGAGAGCUCAAACAAGAUAUUAAAUAUCGAGUACCAUUGUACCAACGAACCACACGACGAUCACGAUCCAGAUUGACAAUAAUUCCAAUGGUGAAACCAACCACUUUAGUUAGUCAUGUGGUGGCCAGAACUCUUAUAUUUCGAUUUCCAUUUUCAGUAAUAUCGAGCUUCAUCCCAUCUGUAUUGAUCAUACUUGCUCUUGAAUCUAUAGAUGGGCUUAGAGACCUAUGUAGUUUAAGUGUGGACUUCGAAUUUGGUUAUAAAUCUAUGAUUAUAUGAUUAUUAUUGUUGUUGAAUCUCUUGUAAUGAAUUGAAUGAUUUGAAACUAAUUCAAACGUGACAAAUUCUAAGCAAA
Lycium barbarum (goji berry) is the source of this 598-nucleotide long non-coding RNA. RefSeq lists it as uncharacterized. The transcript has 2 exons. The record is from RefSeq and is a predicted model, not a curated record. NCBI's taxonomy places the organism in Eukaryota, Viridiplantae, Streptophyta, Magnoliopsida, Solanales, Solanaceae.